CCUUAUCACUUUUCCAGCCCAGCUUUGUGACUCUGAGUGUUGGACGGAGAACUGAUAAGGGU
This 62-nucleotide microRNA precursor is filed under the name Tupaia belangeri chinensis (Chinese tree shrew). RNAcentral describes it as "Tupaia chinensis (Chinese tree shrew) microRNA tch-mir-184 precursor". Its record names the gene tch-mir-184. It matches the Rfam family "mir-184 microRNA precursor family", at positions 13 to 74 of the family's 86-position model. Lineage: Eukaryota; Metazoa; Chordata; Mammalia; Scandentia; Tupaiidae. The record is from miRBase by way of RNAcentral.